AGAUCGCCAGCCUGCGAUUCGUCUUCCUUAUCAACCAGGACCUCAUUGCCCUCAUCAGGGCUGAGGCUGCCAAGAUCACACCACAGUGAGGAGUGGUGGCAGGACUCGUGGGCCCUCUCCGGCCUGUUUCCCCUGCCACUCCAGCCCCCUUGAGCUGGGAACUCAGGCUCCUGGAAAAACCUGGGCAGUGGGAGGCUCAGCUGCGGGCCAUUGAUUUGAGCCUUUGAGGGAGGAUAGGGCUGGCCUUUGUGAAGCCAGCAGAGGCUGAGAACCUCAGGCUUCCCUAGAUCCAGAGCCCCUCCCCAUCUUCCUCUCUCUAAAAACAACCCUACCCCCCAUUGCCACCUUCACUCCUGUGUCUCCAGCUGAUUAGCCUCAGACUCUUCUUUUAUUGUUUUUCUUUUGUAAAUAAAAAGCACCAGGUUCCAA
RNAcentral lists this long non-coding RNA (429 nucleotides) under Homo sapiens (human). Its description in RNAcentral is "non-protein coding lnc-FAM186B-3:4". Lineage: Eukaryota; Metazoa; Chordata; Mammalia; Primates; Hominidae. The record is from RNAcentral.